RNAcentral lists this ribosomal RNA (646 nucleotides) under uncultured bacterium. RNAcentral's name for it is "bacterial SSU rRNA". It matches the Rfam family "Bacterial small subunit ribosomal RNA", at positions 75 to 705 of the family's 1533-position model. The record is from RNAcentral.
GAAGCUUGCUUCUAUGACGUUAGCGGCGGACGGGUGAGUAACACGUGGGCAACCUGCCUGUAAGACUGGGAUAACUUCGGGAAACCGAAGCUAAUACCGGAUAGGAUCUUCUCCUUCAUGGGAGAUGAUUGAAAGAUGGUUUCGGCUAUCACUUACAGAUGGGCCCGCGGUGCAUUAGCUAGUUGGUGAGGUAACGGCUCACCAAGGCAACGAUGCAUAGCCGACCUGAGAGGGUGAUCGGCCACACUGGGACUGAGACACGGNCNAAACUCNUACGGGAGGCAGCAGUAGGGAAUCUUCCGCAAUGGACGAAAGUCUGACGGAGCAACGCCGCGUGAGUGAUGAAGGCUUUCGGGUCGUAAAACUCUGUUGUUAGGGAAGAACAAGUACAAGAGUAACUGCUUGUACCUUGACGGUACCUAACCAGAAAGCCACGGCUAACUACGUGCCAGCAGCCGCGGUAAUACGUAGGUGGCAAGCGUUAUCCGGAAUUAUUGGGCGUAAAGCGCGCGCAGGCGGUUUCUUAAGUCUGAUGUGAAAGCCCACGGCUCAACCGUGGAGGGUCAUUGGAAACUGGGAAACUUGAGUGCAGAAGAGAAAAGCGGAAUUCCACGUGUAGCGGUGAAAUGCGUAGAGAUGUGGAGGA